AUGAGAGGUGUACCAUGUAACCAUGCUGUAUGUGCAAUCUAUAAAUUAAAACAAAAACCAGAAGAUUUUGUCCAUGAGUUCUUCAAGAAGCCUAUGUACCUAGAAGCUUACCCGCCAAUGAUCUACCCAGUUCUUGGGCCUGACCUAUGGACAAGGACAUACACUAGAGACAUAGACCCUCCUGUGUUCCAUAAGAAGAAGGGCAGAAAUCAGACUCAAAGAAGAAAGGGUCAAUUCGAAGUGCCAAAACCCAAGGACAGUUCAAGAGUUGGAACCAUCACCUACAACAACUGCGAGAAGCAAGGGCAUAGAUACACAAACUGUGGUGAUCAAUUGAAGCCAUCCCUUGCUGCUAGGAAGAAUAAGCACAAGGAAACAAGAACUGCCCCUCCAUCAACUGCUGCCACAUCAACACCAGCAUCAUCUGGUGCAAGAGCUACUGCUGUAGCUUCUGGUACCACAAAAGCAGCAACAACAUCAUCAUCUACUGCAAGAGCUACUACUGCAUCUUUUGGUGCAAGAGUUGCUCCUUCUUAUGCUCCCAGAGCUGCUCCUUCUUAUGCUCCCAGAGCUACAACUGCUCCCAGAGCUGUUGCAUCCUCAUCUGCUCCAACAGCUGCUCCUUCCUCAUCUGCUCCAAGAACUAUUGCUUCCUCAUCUGCUCCAAGAAGAGCUGGUUCUUCUUCAUUUGCUCCUCCAAGGCCUGAUACUGCUAGUGCAUCUGGUUCUACAAGGGUCAGGAAGAAGCCAAGCAAGUUUAGAGUCUACUUCUAUGCUAGUGGCAAUUAG
RNAcentral lists this ribosomal RNA (789 nucleotides) under Triticum aestivum (bread wheat). Its description in RNAcentral is "partial small subunit ribosomal RNA". The record is from RNAcentral. Lineage: Eukaryota; Viridiplantae; Streptophyta; Magnoliopsida; Poales; Poaceae.